AUUGAACGCUGGCGGCAUGCCUUACACAUGCAAGUCGAACGGCAGCGGGCCCUUCGGGGUGCCGGCGAGUGGCGAACGGGUGAGUAAUGCAUCGGAACGUACCCGGGAGAGGGGGAUAACCGGCCGAAAGGCUGGCUAAUACCGCAUGAACUCGGAGGAGCAAAGCGGGGGACCUUCGGGCCUCGCGCUCUCGGAGCGGCCGAUGUCCGAUUAGGCUAGUUGGUGGGGUAAAGGCCCACCAAGGCGACGAUCGGUAGCGGGUCUGAGAGGACGAUCCGCCACACUGGGACUGAGACACGGCCCAGACUCCUACGGGAGGCAGCAGUGGGGAAUAUUGGACAAUGGGCGCAAGCCUGAUCCAGCAAUGCCGCGUGGGUGAAGAAGGCCUUCGGGUUGUAAAGCCCUUUCGGCGGGGAAGAAAUCGGUCAGGCGAAUAGUCUGGCCGGAUGACGGUACCCGCAGAAGAAGCACCGGCUAACUACGUG
Molecule: ribosomal RNA, 485 nt
Filed under: uncultured bacterium
Lineage: Bacteria
Description: partial 16S ribosomal RNA
Rfam family: Bacterial small subunit ribosomal RNA
Source: RNAcentral